Molecule: unclassified non-coding RNA, 415 nt
Filed under: Sesamum indicum (sesame)
Lineage: Eukaryota; Viridiplantae; Streptophyta; Magnoliopsida; Lamiales; Pedaliaceae
Description: partial external transcribed spacer
Source: RNAcentral
GUGUGUGGCAUNUUGGAUCCUGCUCGGGCAGCGACAACAUCCCCGCAAGCCGCUUCAGUCGUCGGCCCAAGCGCGCUCCUGCCUUGGCCGCGGUCGGUUUCCUGUGCUGCAUACCCAUCGCGAAGGCAUUCCAUUGUCCCGAACGUCCCGUUUUCGCCCUGCGCUGCACCCCUCGGGGCCGCGGCGCGGGGUGGACCUCAAGGCGCCCGCUGUGUCCCACGUCCCGCGCACGGCCGCACGUGCCCGGGUCGUUGGCCCAUUGCGUCGUCGCCCGAUCUCUCGGAUGCGGAACACACGGUGGGUACGAGGGCCUCGGCCUCUGUUUGCCCCGAAAGCAAGCGUUCGGCGCUUCGUGCGAACGACGCCCGCCACCGUUUUGGGCUCGUCCCAUGCGGGCGGCGGGGUCGGUGAGGAA